RNAcentral lists this ribosomal RNA (881 nucleotides) under Lodderomyces parapsilosis. RNAcentral's name for it is "LSU rRNA". The stretch from base 115 to 881 matches the Rfam family "Eukaryotic large subunit ribosomal RNA", at positions 1 to 785 of the family's 3401-position model. Lineage: Eukaryota; Fungi; Ascomycota; Pichiomycetes; Serinales; Debaryomycetaceae. The record is from RNAcentral.
CUCGGGUUUGGUGUUGAGCGAUACGCUGGGUUUGCUUGAAAGAAAGGCGGAGUAUAAACUAAUGGAUAGGUUUUUUCCACUCAUUGGUACAAACUCCAAAACUUCUUCCAAAUUCGACCUCAAAUCAGGUAGGACUACCCGCUGAACUUAAGCAUAUCAAUAAGCCGGAGGAAAAGAAACCAACAGGAUUGCCUUAGUAGCGGCGAGUGAAGCGGCAAAAGCUCAAAUUUGAAAUCUGGCACUUUCAGUGUCCGAGUUGUAAUUUGAAGAAGGUAUCUUUGGGUCUGGCUCUUGUCUAUGUUUCUUGGAACAGAACGUCACAGAGGGUGAGAAUCCCGUGCGAUGAGAUGUCCCAGACCUAUGUAAAGUUCCUUCGAAGAGUCGAGUUGUUUGGGAAUGCAGCUCUAAGUGGGUGGUAAAUUCCAUCUAAAGCUAAAUAUUGGCGAGAGACCGAUAGCGAACAAGUACAGUGAUGGAAAGAUGAAAAGAACUUUGAAAAGAGAGUGAAAAAGUACGUGAAAUUGUUGAAAGGGAAGGGCUUGAGAUCAGACUUGGUAUUUUGUAUGUUACUCUCUCGGGGGUGGCCUCUACAGUUUACCGGGCCAGCAUCAGUUUGAGCGGUAGGAUAAGUGCAAAGAAAUGUGGCACUGCUUCGGUAGUGUGUUAUAGUCUUUGUCGAUACUGCCAGCUUAGACUGAGGACUGCGGCUUCGGCCUAGGAUGUUGGCAUAAUGAUCUUAAGUCGCCCGUCUUGAAACACGGACCAAGGAGUCUAACGUCUAUGCGAGUGUUUGGGUGUAAAACCCCGUACGCGUAAUGAAAGUGAACGUAGGUAGGACCUCCUUUAGGAGUGCACUAUCGACCGAUCUGAUGUCUUCCGAU